RNAcentral lists this ribosomal RNA (796 nucleotides) under uncultured archaeon. RNAcentral's name for it is "bacterial SSU rRNA". It matches the Rfam family "Archaeal small subunit ribosomal RNA", at positions 85 to 879 of the family's 1478-position model. The record is from RNAcentral.
ACUGCUCAGUAACACGUGGAUAACCUGCCCUUGGGUCCGGCAUAACCCCGGGAAACUGGGGAUAAUUCCGGAUAACGCACAUAUGCUGGAAUGCUUUAUGCGUCAAAUGGAUUCGUCUGCCCAAGGAUGGGUCUGCGGCCUAUCAGGUAGUAGUGGGUGUAAUGUACCUACUAGCCGACGACGGGUACGGGUUGUGAGAGCAAGAGCCCGGAGAUGGAUUCUGAGACAUGAAUCCAGGCCCUACGGGGCGCAGCAGGCGCGAAAACUUUACAAUGCGGGAAACCGUGAUAAGGGGACACCGAGUGCCAGCAUCAUAUGCUGGCUGUCCGGGUGUGUAAAAUACACCUGUUAGCAAGGGCCGGGCAAGACCGGUGCCAGCCGCCGCGGUAACACCGGCGGCCCGAGUGGUGAUCGUGAUUAUUGGGUCUAAAGGGUCCGUAGCCGGUUUGGUCAGUCCUCCGGGAAAUCUGACGGCUUAACCGUUAGGCUUUCGGAGGAUACUGCCAGGCUUGGAACCGGGAGAGGUAAGAGGUACUACAGGGGUAGGAGUGAAAUCUUGUAAUCCCUGUGGGACCACCUGUGGCGAAGGCGUCUUACCAGAACGGGUUCGACGGUGAGGGACGAAAGCUGGGGGCACGAACCGGAUUAGAUACCCGGGUAGUCCCAGCCGUAAACGAUGCUCGCUAGGUGUCAGGCAUGGCGCGACCGUGUCUGGUGCCGCAGGGAAGCCGUGAAGCGAGCCGCCUGGGAAGUACGGCCGCAAGGCUGAAACUUAAAGGAAUUGGCGGGGGAGCAC